AGAGUUUGAUCAUGGCUCAGGAUGAACGCUGGCGGCGUGCCUAACACAUGCAAGUCGAGCGAUUUACUUCGGUAAAGAGCGGCGGACGGGUGAGUAACGCGUGGGUAACCUGCCUCAUACACAUGGAUAACAUACCGAAAGGUAUGCUAAUACAAGAUGAUAUAAGAGAUUCGCAUGGAUUUCUUAUCAAAGCUCCGGCGGUAUGAGAUGGACCCGCGUCUGAUUAGCUAGUUGGUAAGGUAACGGCUUACCAAGGCGACGAUCAGUAGCCGACCUGAGAGGGUGAUCGGCCACAUUGGAACUGAGACACGGUCCAAACUCCUACGGGAGGCAGCAGUGGGGAAUAUUGCACAAUGGGCGAAAGCCUGAUGCAGCAACGCCGCGUGAGCGAUGAAGGCCUUCGGGUCGUAAAGCUCUGUCCUCAAGGAAGAUAAUGACGGUACUUGAGGAGGAAGCCCCGGCUAACUACGUGCCAGCAGCCGCGGUAAUACGUAGGGGGCUAGCGUUAUCCGGAUUUACUGGGCGUAAAGGGUGCGUAGGUGGUUUCUUAAGUCAGGAGUGAAAGGCUACGGCUCAACCGUAGUAAGCUCUUGAAACUGGGAAACUUGAGUGCAGGAGAGGAAAGUGGAAUUCCUAGUGUAGCGGUGAAAUGCGUAGAUAUUAGGAGGAACACCAGUAGCGAAGGCGGCUUUCUGGACUGUAACUGACACUGAGGCACGAAAGCGUGGGGAGCAAACAGGAUUAGAUACCCUGGUAGUCCACGCCGUAAACGAUGAGUACUAGGUGUCGGGGGUUACCCCCCUCGGUGCCGCAGCUAACGCAUUAAGUACUCCGCCUGGGGAGUACGCUCGCAAGAGUGAAACUCAAAGGAAUUGACGG
This 879-nucleotide ribosomal RNA is filed under the name uncultured bacterium. RNAcentral's name for it is "bacterial SSU rRNA". It matches the Rfam family "Bacterial small subunit ribosomal RNA", at positions 8 to 916 of the family's 1533-position model. The record is from RNAcentral.